This 88-nucleotide ribosomal RNA is filed under the name uncultured archaeon. Its description in RNAcentral is "partial 16S ribosomal RNA". The record is from RNAcentral.
CUCCCUCGUUGCUGACCCAGGUUCGAUAGUGCCAAUGAGACACAGCCUCGCCAAGAACCAACUUCGAUGAAGCGACGGGCGGUGUGUG